GACGAACGCUGGCGGCGUGCCUAAUACAUGCAAGUCGAACGAACUCUGGUAUUGAUUGGUGCUUGCAUCAUGAUUUACAUUUGAGUGAGUGGCGAACUGGUGAGUAACACGUGGGAAACCUGCCCAGAAGCGGGGGAUAACACCUGGAAACAGAUGCUAAUACCGCAUAACAACUUGGACCGCAUGGUCCGAGCUUGAAAGAUGGCUUCGGCUAUCACUUUUGGAUGGUCCCGCGGCGUAUUAGCUAGAUGGUGGGGUAACGGCUCACCAUGGCAAUGAUACGUAGCCGACCUGAGAGGGUAAUCGGCCACAUUGGGACUGAGACACGGCCCAAACUCCUACGGGAGGCAGCAGUAGGGAAUCUUCCACAAUGGACGAAAGUCUGAUGGAGCAACGCCGCGUGAGUGAAGAAGGGUUUCGGCUCGUAAAACUCUGUUGUUAAAGAAGAACAUAUCUGAGAGUAACUGUUCAGGUAUUGACGGUAUUUAACCAGAAAGCCACGGCUAACUACGUGCCAGCAGCCGCGGUAAUACGUAGGUGGCAAGCGUUGUCCGGAUUUAUUGGGCGUAAAGCGAGCGCAGGCGGUUUUUUAAGUCUGAUGUGAAAGCCUUCGGCUCAACCGAAGAAGUGCAUCGGAAACUGGGAAACUUGAGUGCAGAAGAGGACAGUGGAACUCCAUGUGUAGCGGUGAAAUGCGUAGAUAUAUGGAAGAACACCAGUGGCGAAGGCGGCUGUCUGGUCUGUAACUGACGCUGAGGCUCGAAAGUAUGGGUAGCAAACAGGAUUAGAUACCCUGGUAGUCCAUACCGUAAACGAUGAAUGCUAAGUGUUGGAGGGUUUCCGCCCUUCAGUGCUGCAGCUAACGCAUUAAGCAUUCCGCCUGGGGAGUACGGCCGCAAGGCUGAAACUCAAAGGAAUUGACGGGGGCCCGCACAAGCGGUGGAGCAUGUGGUUUAAUUCGAAGCUACGCGAAGAACCUUACCAGGUCUUGACAUACUAUGCAAAUCUAAGAGAUUAGACGUUCCCUUCGGGGACAUGGAUACAGGUGGUGCAUGGUUGUCGUCAGCUCGUGUCGUGAGAUGUUGGGUUAAGUCCCGCAACGAGCGCAACCCUUAUUAUCAGUUGCCAGCAUUAAGUUGGGCACUCUGGUGAGACUGCCGGUGACAAACCGGAGGAAGGUGGGGAUGACGUCAAAUCAUCAUGCCCCUUAUGACCUGGGCUACACACGUGCUACAAUGGAUGGUACAACGAGUUGCGAACUCGCGAGAGUAAGCUAAUCUCUUAAAGCCAUUCUCAGUUCGGAUUGUAGGCUGCAACUCGCCUACAUGAAGUCGGAAUCGCUAGUAAUCGCGGAUCAGCAUGCCGCGGUGAAUACGUUCCCGGGCCUUGUACACACCGCCCGUCACACCAUGAGAGUUUGUAACACCCAAAGUCGGUGGGGUAACCUUUUAGGAACCAGCCGCCUAAGGUGUGACAGAUGAUUAGGGUGAAGUCGUAACAAGGUAGCCGUAG
This 1512-nucleotide ribosomal RNA is filed under the name Lactiplantibacillus argentoratensis. RNAcentral's name for it is "partial 16S ribosomal RNA". It matches the Rfam family "Bacterial small subunit ribosomal RNA". The record is from RNAcentral. Lineage: Bacteria; Bacillati; Bacillota; Bacilli; Lactobacillales; Lactobacillaceae.